This 253-nucleotide ribosomal RNA is filed under the name uncultured bacterium. RNAcentral describes it as "partial 16S ribosomal RNA". It matches the Rfam family "Bacterial small subunit ribosomal RNA", at positions 524 to 776 of the family's 1533-position model. The record is from RNAcentral.
UACGUAGGGUGCGAGCGUUGUCCGGAAUUAUUGGGCGUAAAGAGCUUGUAGGCGGUUUGUCGCGUCUGCUGUGAAAAUCCGGGGCUCAACCCCGGACUUGCAGUGGGUACGGGCAGACUAGAGUGCGGUAGGGGAGACUGGAAUUCCUGGUGUAGCGGUGAAAUGCGCAGAUAUCAGGAGGAACACCGGUGGCGAAGGCGGGUCUCUGGGCCGGAACUGACGCUGAGGAGCGAAAGCGUGGGGAGCGAACAGG